Papaver somniferum (opium poppy) is the source of this 2122-nucleotide long non-coding RNA. RefSeq lists it as uncharacterized. The transcript is spliced from 12 exons. The record is from RefSeq and is a predicted model, not a curated record. Lineage: Eukaryota; Viridiplantae; Streptophyta; Magnoliopsida; Ranunculales; Papaveraceae.
GAUAAUUUUCAAAAAAAAUUUAUGUACUGUUAAGUUUCAGGCGUUGUGGUCUUUUCCUUUAUCUUUAAUAUGUGCAACAUUUUUCUUACAGACUGUCGUCUCUUGCAAGUCUCUUAUAGGGUCAUCAAUGUAAUCUUAAUUGUGGCAUAUUUCUGUUGCAGGGCAAUGGGGAUCAUCUUCGAAAUAUCUGCACUUAAGCUGUGGAUGUUUGCAAUUCGUGUUCAAUGUGACUACCUUUAUGCAAGGGGCGUCACUUAGGCUGAUUUUUUUUGAUGGUGGGAGUAAGGUGAAUGUGGGUGUAAGGGGUGUUACUUAGAUCUUUUGUAUGGUUCGCAGAACUUCAAGAGGAAAAUAUUGUAGUUCUUCGAAGAGGAAAUUUGGGAAGCUAAGUUUAUAACAUUGAAGAGUUUGGAAUUGAACUUUCAAUCUGACAUUAUUGGUUGCUGGGAAGGUCUUUCUGUAUCUAGCAAUCAGUUGCAGGUUUGUGGUAGUGAAGAUACCAGAAGUAUUGACACAUCUUGGAAUUUUUUUUUAUGGUUAUUGAUGUUUGAUAGACAAAGGCAGUAAAUAUAUGGAAGAUGAUCUGGAUAAUCGCUACAACUCGAAUUGGGAUGCUAAAUGCAAUGGUCAAGGCCAUCGACGGGUUGUGUUCAUUUAUCCAUCUCGAAGCUAGCACUCUAUGGAGCAAGCACUCUGCUGUCUUGGUGGUACUAAUUCAAUCUUCACAGGAGGCAUGGGAACACUGGUGCCUAAUGUCCUUUACGUGGGGACUAUAGUUGUGGUUCUAAAAUUGGCUUUUCAGGGCUCACCUAUCUUUUAGUAUUCCCCUCUCGGAUGAAGGUGAAGGAAAUUGAAGGUACACCUCUUCUGGAUGAAGAUUCCCUAAAAGCUUCGCUCCGGCUCCUGAGGCUAGCACAGGUACCAUUCAGUUUGAGUAACUUCAGUUUGGAUAGAUCUCGACCAGAUACAUGAAAUAUUUUAUUGCACAUACUACAAGUGGAUCAACUGUUGCUGAAGUUGAUCUUACUCCUCCUCCAUCUUCUGCAAUUGUACUUUCAACUGGAAAUGGCAAUCCAAUCAUGCAAGGGCUUUAAUUGAGAUUCUACCAAACAUCAAGGCCAGCUGCAUGACAGCGUUAGUUGAAUAAAAGUGAGUAUGAAAGAGCGGGCCAAGAGAUUUUACCAUUCAUCCAUAUCCGCAUUUUUGUUGGGAUGGGCGUAUCUCUUGGUAUUGAUGUAUUAGAAGCUCCCGGAGCGGCAAAAUAUUACCAUACUGUCUUAACUUCCAUACUGACUGCUAUGACGAAAACUAUUAUCCCGGAUUGAGCAGUGUCCAGACUGAUCCAAUUGCUACAACUUUGGCUUCCUCCAUAUCAAGUUUGAAAGUGAUUCAUGGGGUUGCUUUUUCAAGCUUCGAACUUUGUAAAUUGUGGAGGUUGUUUGGCAUACAACUGUAUUGCGUCGGAGUAGGUCUGUGCUCCGAGUUGUCACCAAAUAAAAACCAAAUUUAUAGCGAAAGAGGAUCAACUGCUGCUAAAUAGUAGGGUCAAUGUGAUAGGAAGCAUUUCGAACCUGUUGUACAACGAGAAGGAACCUGUUUUUCCAACAUGUUUCACGGUUGCAGUGGAACUAAUUGUUUUGAAGGCACUAGGAGAACUAUUGUUCUUUACUUUUAGAAAAGCUGAAGUUUGUAACGUUAUAUUUAUGUGUGAGGUCCCUAAAGGUCUUGAGCUGGAUAUCAGGGCAUCGGAACAAUAGGGCUUGGCGAGAAGGCAACGGUAUAUUUUAGUAAUCAAUACUAGAAUUUUAGAAAUUAAUACUAGAAGAAUCUCCUUUCAUGCCGAAUGAAGAAGGUUUUGACUUUUGAAGAUGUCCUGUUCAAUAUGGAAUUAGUUCACUUCAUUCAAGCACGUCUGGUGAAAUCCUUUAUUCAGGAGAAUUCUCGGCCAAGUCCUGCUAUAAAGUUCAGUGUGGUGACAUCCUUUCUUUUUCGACAUUAUCUACAAUAGCUCAUAUCUGAUAUUUUUUUCUUGGAAUAACUGGAUGUCGUAACAGCUUUUGAGGUUGUUAAUGUUAAUGGCUGCAUUAGCUUAACGAAUUUGCAUGCUUCAAAAUCUGAAAAU